Molecule: ribosomal RNA, 446 nt
Filed under: uncultured bacterium
Lineage: Bacteria
Description: SSU rRNA
Rfam family: Bacterial small subunit ribosomal RNA
Source: RNAcentral
AGAACGAACGCUGGCGGCAUGCCUAACACAUGCAAGUCGAACGAGACCUUCGGGUCUAGUGGCGCACGGGUGCGUAACGCGUGGGAAUCUGCCCCUUGGUUCGGAAUAACAGUUAGAAAUGACUGCUAAUACCGGAUGACGACGUAAGUCCAAAGAUUUAUCGCCGAGGGAUGAGCCCGCGUAGGAUUAGCUAGUUGGUGAGGUAAUGGCUCACCAAGGCGACGAUCCUUAGCUGGUCUGAGAGGAUGAUCAGCCACACUGGGACUGAGACACGGCCCAGACUCCUACGGGAGGCAGCAGUGGGGAAUAUUGGACAAUGGGCGAAAGCCUGAUCCAGCAAUGCCGCGUGAGUGAUGAAGGCCUUAGGGUUGUAAAGCUUCUUUACCAGGGAUGAUAAUGACAGUACCUGGAGAAUAAGCUCCGGCUAACUCCGCGCCAGCAGCCGC